UACGGAGGGUGCAAGCGUUGUUCGGAAUUAUUGGGCGUAAAGCGCGCGCAGGCGGCUCUUUAAGUCUACGGGUGAAAUGCCGGGGCUCAACCCCGCGCGUGCCCGAGAUACUGGAGGGCUGGAGACACGUAGAGGCAAGCGGAAUUCCGGGUGUAGCGGUGGAAUGCGUAGAGAUCCGGAAGAACACCGGAGGCGAAGGCGGCUUGCUGGGCGUGAUCUGACGCUGAGGCGCGAAAGCGUGGGGAGCGAACAGG
This 254-nucleotide unclassified non-coding RNA is filed under the name uncultured Gemmatimonadota bacterium. RNAcentral's name for it is "uncultured Gemmatimonadetes bacterium contains 16S-23S intergenic spacer region". It matches the Rfam family "Bacterial small subunit ribosomal RNA", at positions 524 to 776 of the family's 1533-position model. Lineage: Bacteria; Pseudomonadati; Gemmatimonadota. The record is from RNAcentral.